RNAcentral lists this ribosomal RNA (253 nucleotides) under uncultured prokaryote. Its description in RNAcentral is "partial 16S ribosomal RNA". It matches the Rfam family "Bacterial small subunit ribosomal RNA", at positions 524 to 776 of the family's 1533-position model. The record is from RNAcentral.
UACAGAGGUCUCAAGCGUUGUUCGGAUUCAUUGGGCGUAAAGGGUGCGUAGGUGGCGAUGCAAGUCUGGUGUGAAAUCUUGGGGCUCAACCUCAAAAUUGCACCGGAUACUGCGUUGCUCGAGGAUUGUAGAGGAGAGUGGAAUUCAUGGUGUAGCAGUGAAAUGCGUAGAUAUCAUGAGGAAGACCAGUUGCGAAGGCGACUCUCUGGGCAACUCCUGACACUGAGGCACGAAGGCCAGGGGAGCAAACGGG